CCUACGGGGUGCAGCAGUGGGGAAUAUUGCACAAUGGGGGAAACCCUGAUGCAGCGACGCCGCGUGAGUGAAGAAGUAAUUCGUUAUGUAAAGCUCUAUCAGCAGGGAAGAAAAUGACGGUACCUGAGUAAGAAGCCCCGGCUAACUACGUGCCAGCAGCCGCGGUAAUACGUAGGGGGCAAGCGUUAUCCGGAUUUACUGGGUGUAAAGGGAGCGUAGACGGCAGUGCAAGUCUGGAGUGAAAGGCGGGGGCGCAACCACCGGACUGCUCUGGAAACUGGACGGCUGGAGUGCAGGAGGGGUAAGUGGAAUUCCUAGUGUAGCGGUGAAAUGCGUAGAUAUUAGGAGGAACACCAGUGGCGAAGGCGGCUUACUGGACUGUAACUGACGUUGAGGCUCGAAGGCGUGGGGAGCAAACAGGAUUAGAUACCCCAGUAGUC
Molecule: ribosomal RNA, 440 nt
Filed under: uncultured bacterium
Lineage: Bacteria
Description: partial 16S ribosomal RNA
Rfam family: Bacterial small subunit ribosomal RNA
Source: RNAcentral